RNAcentral lists this ribosomal RNA (519 nucleotides) under uncultured eukaryote. RNAcentral describes it as "SSU rRNA". It matches the Rfam family "Eukaryotic small subunit ribosomal RNA", at positions 1161 to 1702 of the family's 1831-position model. The record is from RNAcentral.
AGGGCACCACCAGGAGUGGAGCCUGCGGCUUAAUUUGACUCAACACGGGAAAUCUCACCAGGCCCGGACAAUAAAAGGAUUGACAGAUUGAGAGCUCUUUCUUGAUUUAUUGGGUGGUGGUGCAUGGCCGUUCUUAGUUGGUGGAGCGAUUUGUCUGGUUAAUUCCGAUAACGAACGAGACUCUGGCCUACUAACUAGACGUUGGAUCUCUUUGUGGGUCCAUCGCAGCUUCUUAUAGGGACGGGCGGCGUUUAGCCGCACGAGAAUGAGCAAUAACAGGUCUGUGAUGCCCUUAGAUGUUCUGGGCUGCACGCGCGCUACACUGAAGGAAUCAGCGUGUGUACCCUGCCUGAAAAGGCUGGAAAACCCGUUGAACCUCCUUCGUGAUGGGGAUUGGGGAUUGCAAUUAUUCCCCAUGAACGAGGAAUUCCCAGUAGGCGCGAGUCAUAAGCUUGCGUCGAUUACAUCCCUGCCCUUUGUACACACCGCCCGUCGCUACUACCGAUCGAGUGAUUUAAU